RNA transcript from Carassius auratus (goldfish), 2830 nucleotides. It is a transcript of the gene named monocarboxylate transporter 8-like, with no coding region annotated. NCBI's taxonomy places the organism in Eukaryota, Metazoa, Chordata, Actinopteri, Cypriniformes, Cyprinidae. The transcript is spliced from 8 exons. The record is from RefSeq and is a predicted model, not a curated record.
AGCGUGUGUGUAGAACGUUGAGUGGUUACAUUGUAGCUCUCGCAGAAUGAGCGUUUCGGAACGUUUCACUGUUUUACUGUAACAGUGCAGAAGUGAGCAGAGCAGAUCCGGUGUAAAUAUUCAACAAAUGAUAGAGGAGGAGUCGGUGCACGACAUUAAAAGGGAUGUGAACCGAGAGCAAAGAGCUUCGGACUCGGUUUAAAGCGCGCGCUCACUGUGUUCUCCUCAGUUUGCUGGAAGUCCUGCUGCUUUAUUAUGAAGAGUGAUCUCUCGUAACAGGAUUUGGGCAUUAUCGAUCGGAUUAUGAGUGAUCAUCCAUGCAAAAUCACGCGAGAUUGACUUAGUUUCAGAUUUUAAGGGGAUUUAUUUCUGUUCUUCUCUUCCACCCGUUCGGAGGCAUAUAGGAUGCACCCAGAAAGCAAUGAGAACACUGCUAGAGCAGCCAGCGGGACACCCGAUUCGGAAGAAUUGACCACUGAACCGCAGGCUGGACAUACUGAACAUCUUGCAGUGGAGCAUAAAGAGACGCAGGAGUAUGAGGAACCGGAGGGUAAGCUCGCCCCGGAGGACAGCACGAUGCAGCUGAUACAAACCGGCUGCCCCGACAAGCGUCCGGCGACGCCGCCCGGCGCACACCCGGGACCGGGGUUUGUUCCACCGGAGGGGGGCUUCGGCUGGGUCGUGGUGUUCGCUGCAACGUGGUGCAACGGCUCGAUUUUCGGCAUCCAGAACUCAUUCGGGAUUCUGCACAUGAUGCUGGUGAAAGACCAUCAGGAACUGACGGACCAGGCGUCUCAGUUUAAAGUGGCAUGGGUUGGUGCUUUGGCGAUGGGGAUGAUAUUCUUCUGCUCUCCGGUGGUCAGUAUGUUCACCGAUCACUUCGGAUGCCGGAAGACGGCCGUCUGCGGAGCGUUUGUGGCCAGCCUCGGUCUUCUCACCAGUUCCUUUGCAACGACUCUGGGUCUUCGAUACUUCACAUACGGGAUAUUGUUUGGCUGCGGAUCCUCGUUUGCAUUCCAGCCAUCUCUGGUGAUCCUGGGGCAUUAUUUCCGACAGAGACUGGGUUUGGCCAACGGCGUGGUGACGGCAGGCAGCAGCCUCUUUUCUAUGGGGCUCCCCGUGCUGCUCAAGAAAGUGGUGGGACCGCUGGGCCUCUCCAGAACCUUCCAGAUCCUCAGCAUCUUCAUGCUGGUCCAGUCGCUGCUGGCCCUCACCUUCAAACCGCUCAUGCCCAGUGGGAUGUGCCCGAUGCCAGGCAUGGGACUGGACGGAGGCCCCCCGUCUGGCCUGGAGUCAGCGAGCAGGUGGCAGAAGGGCCUGGCCAAAAUCAGGAAGUACUUUAACGUGCGAGUGUUUGGUGUGCUGACCUAUCGGGUUUGGGCAUUCGGUGUCGCCACAGCAGUGCUGGGAUACUUUGUUCCCUAUGUGCAUCUGAUGAACUUUGUGAAGGAGCAGUUUGGAGACACUCAGAGGGAAUGGGUGCUGCUCGUGUGUAUCGGAGCGUCGUCUGGAGUCGGUCGACUGCUGUUUGGGAAGAUCGGAGAUCUCAUACCUGGAGUAAAGAAAAUCUACAUGCAGGUGGCAUCGUUCAUAUUACUGGGUCUGAUGUCAAUGAUGAUACCUAACUGCGCCAAGUUCGAAGGUCUAGUGGUGGUUUUCAUACUGAUGGGUCUUUGUGAUGGCUGUUUCAUCACUAUCAUGGCCCCCAUCGCCUUCGAUUUAGUAGGGCCCAUGCAGGCGUCUCAAGCUAUUGGCUACCUCCUCGGCCUCAUGGCUAUACCAAUGACAGCGGGACCCCCGAUCGCAGGACUUCUUCACGACUAUUUUGGAAACUAUCAUGUGGCGUUUUAUCUGGCUGGUGUUCCUCCAAUAGUGGGGGGUAUUGUGAUGUUUUUUGUACCUCUGGUGCACCAGCGCAUGCAGCGACGACUAAAGGAGGCCAACGAUCCCAGCAUGGACAAGAUGUUGAAGAACUGCUCUAAUGGAGACAUGCUGCCCGGAUACACAGACAUGGAGACACACAUAUGAAGCCCACAGCCUCACAAAGUUAAUUUGGGACCCUGACUGUGGACAUCUACCGGAUUUAUCUCACCAGCGCUGCUUGUGAGUGUGUGUCAGGAUGGUGUGUGAUGUAUUUCCUCUUUGCUUGGCUCUAAUCAAACUCGAGGUCUCAAGGCUUUCCCCCCUGCUUGUUUGCUGUUCUGGAGAGGAGACGUGAUCAUCCAUCAAGAUCCCAAACCCUCCUCCUGUGGCCUGCGCUGCCAUUUCCACCGGCUCACGAGUGAUUGAACAACUUCUGCAUGCGGAUUUGGGAGAAUUUCCGUUUCUCACAAAAAUCUGAUCGGACGGCUCAGGUAGCGCAGGAGCCGUCAGUUAAAUUAGGACAGCAAACGUUUUAGCACCUUUAUAAAGGAAACAUUAAUUUGAUGUGAGAGAGUAGCAUUUCCAGCACAGAGAAAAGUGCUGUUUUCAUUGAGCUUAAUAGUUUAUUGUCUAGAUUAUGCAAAUCAGAUCUGUAAUCUUAGGUGUUUUAAUAAUACGAUUAAAAAAAAAAAAGUCCUCCGGAGAUUUCGGAAACUUUUAAGAGACAAAUCCUUCUUCUUGCACUUUCUGCUGCUGACUUUGAUAACCUCGGCCAUGAUUUUCUUAUCAUAACGUACCGCAGCCGUGCAUCGAUUACGAAUUAUGUAGAAAUGAAAACUAAACGAGGAAUCAUUUUUAUGAAUUUCUUUUAAAAAGCUAAUCCUUUGUCCUUAAUAAGAUCCGCUAAAUUUAGUUCAGUAAUUUUCAGCUAUGCAUUAAGGAGUUCACAAACCGUGCCAUGACCAUU